GCCCAGACUCCUACGGGAGGCAGCAGUGGGGAAUAUUGCACAAUGGGGGGAAACCCUGAUGCAGCGACGCCGCGUGUGGGAAGACGGUCUUCUGGAUUGCAAACCACUGUCCCCAGGGACGAAAAUGACGGUACCUGACUAAGAAGCCCCGGCUAACUACGUGCCAGCCGCCGCGGUAAUACGUAGGGGGCAAGCGUUAUCCGGAUUUACUGGGUGUAAAGGGAGCGUAGGCGGCAAGGCAAGUCUGAUGUGAAAACCCAGGGCCCAACCCUGGGACUGCAUUGGAAACUGUAUUGCUUGAGUACCGGAGAGGCAGGCGGAAUUCCUAGUGUAGCGGUGAAAUGCGUAGAUAUUAGGAGGAACACCAGUGGCGAAGGCGGCCUGCUGGACUGCAACUGACGUUGAGGCCCGAAAGCGUGGGGAGCAAACAGGAUUAGAUACCCCCGUAC
Molecule: ribosomal RNA, 449 nt
Filed under: uncultured bacterium
Lineage: Bacteria
Description: partial 16S ribosomal RNA
Rfam family: Bacterial small subunit ribosomal RNA
Source: RNAcentral